GACGAACGCUGGCGGCGUGCUUAACACAUGCAAGUCGAACGGAAAGGCUCCAGCUUGCUGGAGUACUCGAGUGGCGAACGGGUGAGUAACACGUGGGUAAUCUGCCCUGCACUCUGGGAUAAGCCUGGGAAACUGGGUCUAAUACUGGAUAUGACCUUUCUCCUUAUGGGGUUUGGUGGAAAGUUUUUCGGUGUAGGAUGAGCCCGCGGCCUAUCAGCUUGUUGGUGGGGUGAUGGCCUACCAAGGCGACGACGGGUAGCCGGCCUGAGAGGGUGAUCGGCCACAUUGGGACUGAGAUACGGCCCAGACUCCUACGGGAGGCAGCAGGGGGGAAUAUUGCACAAUGGGCGGAAGCCUGAUGCAGCGACGCCGCGUGAGGGAUGACGGCCUUCGGGUUGUAAACCUCUUUCAGCAGGGACGAAGCGUAAGUGACGGUACCUGCAGAAGAAGCACCGGCUAACUAUGUG
This 467-nucleotide ribosomal RNA is filed under the name uncultured bacterium. RNAcentral describes it as "partial 16S ribosomal RNA". It matches the Rfam family "Bacterial small subunit ribosomal RNA", at positions 28 to 507 of the family's 1533-position model. The record is from RNAcentral.